GACGAACGCUGGCGGCGUGCCUAAUACAUGCAAGUCGAACGAAGCUGUUUUAACUGGUGCUUGCACCGACUUAAACAACUGAGUGGCGAACGGGUGAGUAACACGUGGGUAACCUGCCCCAAAGUGGGGGAUAACAUUUGGAAACAGAUGCUAAUACCGCAUAAUCACAGAAACCACAUGGUUUCUGUGUCAAAGAUGGUUUCGGCUAUCACUUUGGGAUGGACCCGCGGCGUAUUAGCUAGUUGGUAAGGUAAUGGCUUACCAAGGUAAUGAUACGUAGCCGAACUGAGAGGUUGAUCGGCCACAUUGGGACUGAGACACGGCCCAAACUCCUACGGGAGGCAGCAGUAGGGAAUCUUCCACAAUGGACGAAAGUCUGAUGGAGCAACGCCACGUGAGUGAAGAAGGUUUUCGGAUCGUAAAACUCUGUUGUCAGAGAAGAACGUGUGCGAGAGUAACUGUUCGUGCAGUGACGGUAUCUGGCCAGAAAGCCACGGCUAACUACGUGCCAGCCGCCGCAGUAA
This 524-nucleotide ribosomal RNA is filed under the name uncultured bacterium. Its description in RNAcentral is "partial 16S ribosomal RNA". It matches the Rfam family "Bacterial small subunit ribosomal RNA", at positions 28 to 523 of the family's 1533-position model. The record is from RNAcentral.